RNAcentral lists this ribosomal RNA (494 nucleotides) under uncultured bacterium. Its description in RNAcentral is "partial 16S ribosomal RNA". It matches the Rfam family "Bacterial small subunit ribosomal RNA", at positions 28 to 507 of the family's 1533-position model. The record is from RNAcentral.
GACGAACGCUGGCGGCGCGCUUAACACAUGCAAGUCGAACGGAAAGGCCUGCUUUCCCUUGUGGAUUGCGGGUACUCGAGUGGCGAACGGGUGAGUAACACGUGAGUGAUCUGCCCCCAACUUGGGUAUAAGCCUGGGAAACUGGGUCUAAUUCCCGAUAGGACUGCAGGGUGGUGCCUGUGGUGGAAAACGAUUUUCUAGUGGUUGGGGAUGAGCUCGCGGCCUAUCAGCUUGUUGGUGGGGUAAUGGCCUACCAAGGCGGCGACGGGUAGCCGGCCUGAGAGGGUGGACGGCAACAUUGGGACUGAGAUACGGCCCAGACUCCUACGGGAGGCAGCAGUGGGGAAUAGUGCACAAUGGGCGGAAGCCUGAUGCAGCGACGCCGCGUGGGGGAUGACGGCCUUCGGGUUGUAAACUCCUUUCGACCGCGAGGAAGCCACCUGGUUGGAAGGGUGGUGACGGUAGUGGUAGAAGAAGCACCGGCUAACUACGUG